Molecule: unclassified non-coding RNA, 190 nt
Filed under: Priapulus caudatus
Lineage: Eukaryota; Metazoa; Priapulida; Priapulimorpha; Priapulimorphida; Priapulidae
Description: transmembrane protein 251-like, transcript variant X1
Source: RNAcentral
GUGGCGAAGUCCAAUAUAAUUUUCUUGUGAGUUUCAGAAUUCUUUAAUUCUAUCUAGUUAAUAGUUUUCCUAAGUUCAAAAGUUGGAUCCAGAAAUCUGCAUACAUGUACACGAUGCAGUGUAAGACUUGUUCUUGGUCUUGAGUGAGGAGGAAUUGUCUUGUGUAAUUCCAUUGUGGUGGGUGAAUGGC